This is a long non-coding RNA of Mastomys coucha (southern multimammate mouse), 1713 nucleotides long. RefSeq lists it as uncharacterized. The record is from RefSeq and is a predicted model, not a curated record. The transcript is spliced from 4 exons. Lineage: Eukaryota; Metazoa; Chordata; Mammalia; Rodentia; Muridae.
AAUCACUGGCCAAUUGUGUCAGAGAAGAUCUGGCUCUGAUCAUCCUCAUCAUGGUUCAUCAUGUAAAUGUGCAGGGGUCUACUUUACCCUAACUUUAUCUGCUCAUUCAUCAUCUCUGUCUGUGAACUCAUCAUGAGUGAAGCAUGGGUUAGGCCCCAAGCUGAGGCGGAGUGACAGUGGUGAAGGACUGGAAGGUCAACCUUCUGCCUUCAUGAAACUCUGUGCUUGAACUCUGUCUUUAGUGAAUCACAAAUGUGGCUCUUAGAAUUCUGUAGAAAAAAUUUUUUUUCCAAAGUUUUAUAUAUAUAUAUAUGUAUAUAUAUAUAUACAUAUAUAUAUAUAUAUGUAUGUAUGUAUCUUUUUGGGCCUACUGGAUUUUUAUGUCUUUCUUAAGUUACUAGAUGUUGUGGGACUCAUAGUCCCCUUGAGAAAAUAGAAAGGACACUUGCAUGAACCACAGCAUCGGAUUGUAUGGACAUGGACCUCCCAAAUUUUAUUUCAGAGCCUGCUAAGUUGUCUGUAUCCAGGAAGGCUUUUUAAUGGAAAGUCUUCACCUUAAGUUCAACUCAACGAGCCACAAAUGAUGCAAUGUCUUAAAAGAGCCACCCCGCUGUGCCUUUUGUGCCUCUGUUUCCUCUGUGAAUGCUGUACCAGGCAUCCUAAGUGACCAACCUCCUCUGUACUCAGAGAUGGAUCCUCACCUAUGCACAGAUGGUUCCUGGGUAGACUAGAGAUGGGUGUUCCUAAUUCUUACCUCUGCAUGUAUUAGGCCUUGUGAGACUGAACUUUGCAUGUGCCUCAACCUCCAAGACUCAUUAGUUGAAAUCUUAACUCCUACCAUGGCUAUAUUUAUAGUAAUAAAGACGUCAAGACUGGCCAAGGUUGUGCAGGGUGAGACCUUAAUAUCAGAAUUAAAACCCUUAUAAAAAGCCAAAGAAGAGCUUGUAGCUGAUUUUUUUGUCUCUCUCCCAUGCUUCACUUUGUGUGAACACAAAGGAAAGAAGAUGUAAGAUCAUAGUGAGGUAACCAGGAAGAUGGUCCUGCAAGCAAGGGAUCUAACUUCCCAGAAUCUAGUCUAUCAGUCAGUCGUCAGUUAGUCAGUCAGUCAGUCAGUCAGUCAGUCUGUCGUCUGUCUGUAGCAAUUCUCUUGAGCAUCCUGAGAUUAGCAUGGGCUUACAAAUGAAAGAGCUAUGUUGAUUCAAGAAUGGAAUAUGGCCAAGGGUGAGGCUGAGCUCACAAUGGGACAGGGCAACAAAGGAACUCAAAGGAGCUCCCCUCCUGGUUGGUGUCCACCAAGACCAGGGGCUUAGAGGUUGGAGGCAGACUUAGUCCCUCCAUGACUGCCUUCCAGACUUUAUAAGCCUGUUUAGGAGUACAUCAGAUGAGUUCAAGGCUAGCCUCAGCUGCAGAAUGUGUUUCAGGCCAGCCAAGGCUGCAUGAGUGGCUGAGAAUAAAGCUUCCUGGGAAUGAGGUGGCUUGGCCCUGGUAUGGCCUGCCGACUGACUUCACACACCUGGAUAUGCCUUGACCUGUUUGAGUCUCUGUUUUUCUGUAUAUCUUGUUAUAGAAAACAUAUGGCAGCCUCCCAGCAGGGCCAAGAAAGGAGCCUCAAGCUUUAAUCCCAGCCUGAGUGGCACCCACAAAAGCUGUAAAUAAUUUAACAAAAGACUAACCUUCUAAAAGCCCAGGAGUGGCACACACAGAGGCAGUCUU